UACGUAGGGUGCAAGCGUAAUCGGAAUUACUGGGCGUAAAGCGUGCGCAGGCGGUUUUGUAAGUCUGAUGUGAAAUCCCCGGGCUCAACCUGGGAAUUGCAUUGGAGACUGCAAGGCUAGAAUCUGGCAGAGGGGGGUAGAAUUCCACGUGUAGCAGUGAAAUGCGUAGAGAUGUGGAGGAACACCGAUGGCGAAGGCAGCCCCCUGGGUCAAGAUUGACGCUCAUGCACGAAAGCGUGGGGAGCAAACAGG
This 252-nucleotide ribosomal RNA is filed under the name uncultured bacterium. RNAcentral describes it as "partial 16S ribosomal RNA". It matches the Rfam family "Bacterial small subunit ribosomal RNA", at positions 524 to 776 of the family's 1533-position model. The record is from RNAcentral.